AUGUGUGGCAGCAAUACAGGUGCUAUGCAUGAAAUAGUACAGAGGUUUUUCAUUAGUCAAUACAGUGAAGGCUGGCAUGAUCAUCAGCUUCCCAUCAAAUAAUAUCUACUCAUCAGUGUGCUGUUGUCAAUCAGAGAUUUUCAAGUAUGAGUUCUCCAACUCAAAGAAAAGUAGCUGGAUCCAGGAAGAAAGGCAUUUGGGGAGGAACAACGUUCUUUACAGUGCUCAUGAUGUGUCUCCAGAGAAAGUUACUUCAGCACUAAACAAACAAACAAACAAACAACAACAAUAAACAACUUUCCUCUUCAGUAUCUUCCAGGGUCUAAACUAUUAGACAGAUUCCUAAGUUUAUCCAGAUCUCUCCUAUGUCUGAAUUCUUGGUCAUCUUCCUUGCCUCUGGCUCCACAGGUAAAGAAGAAAUAAUAAUAAAGGAACAAAAAUUAUAUGUUUCUGUCAGGCUGACUCAUUCCACUUUUGAAGCACCCAGUGGAUUAAUUAGUCUUAUUAUUGCAUUUACUGUCACCUACACACUUGUUUGUGGGAAGGCCCUCCUCUUGGCAUUUGCCUAGUGGAAAAAGGAACCCUAAGACUUUAGCCACUGGAUAAUGCUCUUGAAGUUCACGGCACUGUGGCAGCAUAAACUUGAACAGACCUAGCUUUUUUAUUGAUGGAGUGCAACUGAUAUAGCACCACCUUUCUCUGACACUGUAUAUUAGCUUUUAGUUAUUAUGAACUACUUCCUUCCAGUGCAGCAGUUGUUGCCUACCAUUGGUACCAGUUUGGCACCAUUAUAAAGAAACAUUGUACCUCUUGUAGGAAGAAUUUGGACAGUUUUGGUAUGGUAAUCAAGAUGUGUAUUGUAAUACUUAACUGAAUUCUGUGAACACACUGUUACUACCUUAAGUGAAAGAAAAAGAGAACAGCUGCAAUUAUUUAUCUUCACUCAUUUCUCAUAGAUAGCCAGGAUUUUUCAGUGUACAUUCUCUUGUCCUGAAAUUAUUUUCAGUUCUUGUUGAUUCUUAUAGAUUAUGAUGAGAAAGGCACCAGCAAGAAAUUUGAAAUAAUGAACACAAAAUGAGAUUGCCCUUUGAUUGUUAAAAUUGCAGAUCAACACAAAAUAAAUCAGCAAAAUAUGUGCAAAGUUAUCUUAACAGAUUAAUUCCUAUCCAGCAGGCUUUGACAAAAACUAAUAGAAGGUAUUACAUAUUUACAGAAAAAAAAUUUAGGCAUGAAAGCUGUUAGGUAACAGGAGCACCCUAAUGGCGCUGGUUCCGGGUUCUUCGUCCUCCCCAACACAGGCCCGCCAAAAAGGAGCCAACCAGAGGUCACGCCUUCCCGCCUCGGCCUAGGCCCAGCCCCUCAGCCAACCAGCAACCCCCACGUAACGUCCCCGGGCAUGAAAGACGGAGGCCGCAGAGCUCUCUCUCUGUCUUCCCUUCCGCUUCGGCUCUUCCUCAGACUCCUCCAAUAAAGAUCUCUUGACUGCAACCGGUGUGGCGUGGUCUUAGUCUGAGCCUACAGAGCCACUCUUUCAAAAGCUACUAAAGAAAAGCCAGAAACAGCGUAAGAAUACCCUACUCAAAUAUGGUUCAGAGACGAGGGUGGGGACUUUAUUCCAUUGGACUUCAGUCCCAGUGACAAGGCCACUACUAUUGUGAAUUAAUAUCAGGCUAAUUAAACUUGAUGUUAUUAAAUGUUCUAUCCAUAAAAA
This is a long non-coding RNA of Nomascus leucogenys (northern white-cheeked gibbon), 1711 nucleotides long. RefSeq lists it as uncharacterized. Lineage: Eukaryota; Metazoa; Chordata; Mammalia; Primates; Hylobatidae. The record is from RefSeq and is a predicted model, not a curated record. The transcript has 2 exons.